Molecule: long non-coding RNA, 696 nt
Organism: Homo sapiens (human)
Lineage: Eukaryota; Metazoa; Chordata; Mammalia; Primates; Hominidae
Source: Ensembl
CUGCCUGCCACCACAUAAGAUGUGCCUUUGUUCUUCCUUUGCCUCCGGCCAUGAUUUUGAGGACUCCCCAGCCAUGCUGAACUAAACCUGGGUCCCCACCAAAUGGAUCCACUGGCACUGAGACCCCAGGCAAUGGGGAGCUGAGGACUGAGCUCUGACCACUAUUCUUUCUUCUAAAUUACUUCCUGAGGGGCCUGGAUAAAGAAACUCGGACCCCACCAAAUGGAUCUGCUGGCACACAGACCUCAGAUAUGGAGGGACCGAGAGGACUGGAUUCUUGCUGCUGUGAAAGGAAAAUAAAAACUUGGAACCCCAAAUCUCUGUGCCAAAAGGAAAAAAUUAAGCUGAAAGCUGAGUCAUGCAAGAAGCUGCCUUUUCUUUUGCUCCUAAGCAGAGAGCUACAGAUAAAAGGUUAAAUAUCUCCACAGAUAGCUACUCUACGUUCACCUUAUCUUACGUAAAGUGCUGAUUUACUGAGCACCAGACAGACACAUAAUUGACUGUUCCCCUACCUGCUCCUUUUCUCUUGCAACACGUGGAUUCAGUAAUGUGACCAUACCCUCCUUCUUUCCCCUCCAGUCUGCUUUUCCCCUUUUAAAUAUUGAAGCCCUCAAAAUCACCUUUGGAGAAAGGCACAGACUUGUCUCCUGGGUACAUCCUUAACCUUGGCAAAAUAAACUUUUGAAUUAAUUGAGA